RNAcentral lists this ribosomal RNA (406 nucleotides) under uncultured bacterium. RNAcentral's name for it is "partial 16S ribosomal RNA". It matches the Rfam family "Bacterial small subunit ribosomal RNA", at positions 30 to 526 of the family's 1533-position model. The record is from RNAcentral.
AUUGAACGCUGGCGGCAGGCCUAACACAUGCAAGUCGAACGAGUGGCGGACGGGUGAGUAAUGUCUGGGAAACUGCCUGAUGGAGGGGGAUAACUACUGGAAACGGUAGCUAAUACCGCAUACCAUCGGAUGUGCCCAGAUGGGAUUAGCUAGUAGGUGGGGUAAAGGCUAACAUAGGCGACGAUCCCUAGCUGGUCUGAGAGGAUGACCAGCCACACGUGAACUGAGACACGGUCCAGACUCCUACGGGAGUUAGCAGGUGGGAUUAUUGCACAAUUGGCGCAAGCCUGAUGCAGCCAUGCCGCGUGUAUGAAGAAGGCCUUCGGGUUGUAAAGUACUUUCAGCGGGGAGGCGUUACCCGCAGAAGAAGCACCGGCUAACUCCGUGCCAGCAGCCGCGGUAAUUC